UCGUCCAGCUACAGACUGUACUGAUAUUCUAUUGAAACCUUGAAAUUGCUGAAACUGUAGCUGAUCACCCAGUUUUUUAUUAACUGUUGAGAUUACGAUUUUCUGGCUAUUUUCUUAAUGAAGGAAUUUAACUUCAUCUGUUUGCAUUAUGAAUCUUUUCGUCAUAUCUGGCAAGAUUGUAAGAUAAUUUAUCACUUAUAAAUCGUGUUCUCUUAAUAAAACUAUCAAACAAAUUAUUAUAAUUUUGCAGAAUGAUAUAUUUAUAUAUAUCUUACAUAUACAGUAUGCAAUUAUGAACUGAAAUACAGAAUGAGAAAGAAAAUUCAAAAGAGAUUGACAUGCCCAUUCUCUUCAAACGAAGUUGUGAAUAUCUUAGAUUUCUAUCGAACCUACCGUCCAUAAUUUUAAUGACUUUUUCGCUGUAUCAUUUCAUGUUAUUUUUCUGUGCUUAUUUCUCUUUGUUGAUUGAUAAAAAUAUAAUAAUAUUCCGGUUAUAUCGACACUCAUUCAUAUUAUUCUGUCGUAUACAAAUUUCAAUAUUUUGAAGUAAAAAUUGUAAUAUUAUAUAUACAUAGAAUGAGUUGGGAGAAGCUGACCAACUUUUUCUUUUUGAC
This 614-nucleotide long non-coding RNA is filed under the name Androctonus crassicauda. The record is from RNAcentral. Lineage: Eukaryota; Metazoa; Arthropoda; Arachnida; Scorpiones; Buthidae.